GUAGUCCUGGCCCUAAACGAUGUCCACUAGAUCGCGGUGGGUUUGACCCCAUCGCGGUCGAAGCAAAAGUGUUAAGUGGACCGCCUGGGAAGUACGGUCGCAAGGCUAAAACUCAAAGGAAUUGACGGGGGCUCACACAAGCGGUGGAGCAUGUGGUUCAAUUCGAAGCAACGCGCAGAACCUUACCUGGGCUUGACAUGCUCGGAUUAUCCCGGUGAAAGCCGGGUAGGCCCCGCAAGGGGUACAACGAGUACAGGUGCUGCAUGGCUGUCGUCAGCUCGUGUCGUGAGAUGUCGGGUUAAGUCCCUUAACGAGCGAAACCUUUACCCUUAGUUACCAGCGGGUUAUGCCGGGGACUCUAAGGGGACCGCCGGUGUCAAACCGGA
This 386-nucleotide ribosomal RNA is filed under the name uncultured bacterium. RNAcentral describes it as "bacterial SSU rRNA". It matches the Rfam family "Bacterial small subunit ribosomal RNA", at positions 790 to 1167 of the family's 1533-position model. The record is from RNAcentral.